This 913-nucleotide unclassified non-coding RNA is filed under the name uncultured bacterium. RNAcentral's name for it is "partial contains 16S ribosomal RNA, 16S-23S ribosomal RNA intergenic spacer, and 23S ribosomal RNA". The stretch from base 784 to 913 matches the Rfam family "Bacterial large subunit ribosomal RNA", at positions 1 to 130 of the family's 2925-position model. The record is from RNAcentral.
GCUGGAUCCCCUCCUUUCUAAGGAUGUCGGCGGUACGGUCUUUCAGGCUUCUGUCUGAAGACUGUCUUCUGACUUACCUUACAAACUGUUCUUUCCGGCGUGCCGCCGUCUCCGCAUCUCUUCUUAUUGUCCUCGUUCGAUUCGUCGAACGGCGCAGCCGUUUGGGUAACCCAGUUGGGUUUCCAGCCGGUCGCGCGGUUCGUUGAGGGCGGCCAUCUGGGCGUCCUGACGCGGAGGGGCCUGUAGCUCAGUCUGGUUAGAGCGCACGCCUGAUAAGCGUGAGGUCGGUAGUUCAAGUCUACCCAGGCCCACCACGCGCAGAUUGUUUUGGCAGUCGCGCGCCGCGGGGCCGUAGCUCAGCUGGGAGAGCGCCUGCUUUGCAAGCAGGAGGUCGUCGGUUCGAUCCCGUCCGGCUCCACCAUUUUCAUGGUUGCUUCUUCCCUGGCAGCUUCGCUCGAUCACCGGUUCGAUCGCAGGACAGUCAUUGGUUUGUGGCUUUUGCCGGCGCCGGAUCAUUCGGGCGCUGGUUCCACAUUGAGAAAGCGGCUUCCAUCCCUUCUAUGGAUUGUCGCCGCGGGCUCUUCGACAUUGUGAAUAGGUUGUGUGCACUGACCGUGUUGGAUCACGGGCAGGUCGCGUGUUUGCUGGCUUCGGCCGGCGGCGGGCGGCGGCCAUGUGAUCCGCUGGUAGAUUUCGAGUCUGAUGCCGCAGCAUCUUGGGCGUGUGCCCGGGCAGCCUUCGGGCGGUCUUGGCGCUUUCCCCUGUAUGCGGCGGUUUCGUUCGAACAAGCGUGACAAGGGCAUUCGGUGGAUGCCUUGGCGCUGAGAGGCGAUGAAGGACGUAGCACCCUGCGAUAAGCUACGGGGAGGCGGGAGCAGCCUUUGAUCCGUAGAUUUCCGAAUGGGGAAACCCG